UGUACUAAAACUUUAAUGGAUUCAUGAAGGUCCACGGUGAAUGUUGAUGCAAUGUAAUUUCUGCCUAGUGCUCUGAAUGUCAAAGUCAAGUCAGUGAAGCACAGGUAAAUGGUGGGAGUAACUAGCAUUCUCUUAUGGUACCCAAAUGCCUUGUCAUCUGAUUAGGGACAUACAUGAAUGGGUGAACAA
RNAcentral lists this non-coding RNA (189 nucleotides) under Camelus bactrianus (Bactrian camel). RNAcentral's name for it is "Eukaryotic large subunit ribosomal RNA". It matches the Rfam family "Eukaryotic large subunit ribosomal RNA", at positions 2140 to 2330 of the family's 3401-position model. Lineage: Eukaryota; Metazoa; Chordata; Mammalia; Artiodactyla; Camelidae. RNAcentral also lists the same sequence under 2 other names. The record is from Rfam by way of RNAcentral.